This 115-nucleotide non-coding RNA is filed under the name Anaerocolumna xylanovorans. Its description in RNAcentral is "FMN sequence". It matches the Rfam family "FMN riboswitch aptamer (RFN element)". From Rfam's summary of the family: The RFN element is a highly conserved domain that is found frequently in the 5'-untranslated regions of prokaryotic mRNAs that encode for flavin mononucleotide (FMN) biosynthesis and transport proteins. RNAcentral also lists the same sequence under 1 other name. Lineage: Bacteria; Bacillati; Bacillota; Clostridia; Lachnospirales; Lachnospiraceae. The record is from RNAcentral.
AUAUAUCUUCAGGGCAGGGUGAAAUUCCCUACCGGUGGUAUAGCCCACAAGCCGCAAGGUAUGAUUCGGUGAAACUCCGAAGCCGACAGUACAGUCUGGAUGGAAGAAGAUUUUA